GAUGAAGAACGUAGCGAAAUGCGAUACUUGGUGUGAAUUGCAGAAUCCCGCGAAUCAUCGAGUUUUUGAACGCAAGUUGCGCCCGAAGCCAUUCGGCCGAGGGCACGUCUGCCUGGGUGUCACGCAUCGUUGCCCCCCCAAACUCCGGUUCGGGCGGGGCGGAAGUUGGCCUCCCGUGCGUGCCUGCGCGCGCGGUUAGCCCAACAGCGAGUCCUCGGCGACGAGCGCCACGACAAUCGGUGGUUUUUUUACCCUCGUUCCUCGUCGUGCGUGCCCCGUCGCCCGAACGCGCUCUUGCGACCCUUACGCGUCGCCUCGGCGGCGCUCCCAACGCGACCCCAGGUCAGGCGGGACUACCCGCUGAACUUAAGCAUAUCAAUAAGCGGAGGA
RNAcentral lists this unclassified non-coding RNA (390 nucleotides) under soil metagenome. RNAcentral describes it as "partial contains 5.8S ribosomal RNA, internal transcribed spacer 2, and large subunit ribosomal RNA". The stretch from base 1 to 122 matches the Rfam family "5.8S ribosomal RNA", at positions 35 to 154 of the family's 154-position model. The record is from RNAcentral.